UGGGGAAUAUUGCACAAUGGGGGGAACCCUGAUGCAGCGACGCCGCGUGAGCGAGGAAGUAUUUCGGUAUGUAAAGCUCUAUCAGCAGGGACGAAAAAAGACGGUACCUGACUAAGAAGCCCCGGCUAACUACGUGCCAGCAGCCGCGGUAAUACGUAGGGGGCAAGCGUUAUCCGGAUUUACUGGGUGUAAAGGGAGCGUAGACGGCAAGGCAAGCCAGAAGUGAAAGGGCAGGGCUCAACCCUGUACAUGCUUUUGGAACUGUGGUGCUAGAGUGCAGGAGAGGUAAGUGGAAUUCCUAGUGUAGCGGUGAAAUGCGUAGAUAUUAGGAGGAACACCAGUGGCGAAGGCGGCUUACUGGACUGUAACUGACGUUGAGGCUCGAAAGCGUGGGGAGCAAACAGG
This 405-nucleotide ribosomal RNA is filed under the name uncultured bacterium. RNAcentral's name for it is "bacterial SSU rRNA". It matches the Rfam family "Bacterial small subunit ribosomal RNA", at positions 355 to 776 of the family's 1533-position model. The record is from RNAcentral.